RNAcentral lists this microRNA precursor (89 nucleotides) under Trialeurodes vaporariorum (greenhouse whitefly). RNAcentral describes it as "microRNA mir-449". The stretch from base 9 to 80 matches the Rfam family "mir-34 microRNA precursor family". Rfam says of the family: Human mir-34a was discovered computationally and later experimentally verified. The mature sequence is excised from the 5' arm of the hairpin. The record is from RNAcentral. Lineage: Eukaryota; Metazoa; Arthropoda; Insecta; Hemiptera; Aleyrodidae.
GAAAGUGGGUCAAGUUGGCAGUGUGGUUAGCUGGUUGUGUAGUUUAAAUUCACUGCCACUUCCUGCACUGCCCUUUUGAUUCGCCGAAA